This 292-nucleotide ribosomal RNA is filed under the name uncultured bacterium. RNAcentral's name for it is "partial 16S ribosomal RNA". It matches the Rfam family "Bacterial small subunit ribosomal RNA", at positions 505 to 796 of the family's 1533-position model. The record is from RNAcentral.
GUGUCAGCAGCCGCGGUAAUACGGGGGGUGCGAGCGUUGUCCGGAAUCACUGGGCGUAAAGGGCGCGUAGGUGGUCUUAUAAGGGUGUGGUGAAAGCCCGGGGCUCAACCCCGGGUCGGCCGUGCCGACUGUAAGACUAGAGUGCUGUAGGGGCAGGCGGAAUUCCGGGUGUAGCGGUGGAAUGCGUAGAGAUCCGGAGGAAGACCGGUGGCGAAGGCGGCCUGCUGGGCAGAUACUGACACUGAGGCGCGACAGCGUGGGGAGCAAACAGGAUUAGAAACCCUCGUAGUCC